This 466-nucleotide ribosomal RNA is filed under the name uncultured bacterium. Its description in RNAcentral is "partial 16S ribosomal RNA". It matches the Rfam family "Bacterial small subunit ribosomal RNA", at positions 28 to 507 of the family's 1533-position model. The record is from RNAcentral.
GAUGAACGCUGGCGGCGUGCUUAACACAUGCCAGUCGAACGAUGAAGCCCAGCUUGCUGGGUGGAUUAGUGGCGAACGGGUGAGUAACACGUGAGUAACCUGCCCUUAACUCUGGGAUAAGCCUGGGAAACUGGGUCUAAUACCGGAUAGGAGCGUCCACCGCAUGGUGGGUGUUGGAAAGAUUUAUCGGUUUUGGAUGGACUCGCGGCCUAUCAGCUUGUUGGUGAGGUAAUGGCUCACCAAGGCGACGACGGGUAGCCGGCCUGAGAGGGUGACCGGCCACACUGGGACUGAGACACGGCCCAGACUCCUACGGGAGGCAGCAGUGGGGAAUAUUGCACAAUGGGCGCAAGCCUGAUGCAGCGACGCCGCGUGAGGGAUGACAGCCUUCGGGUUGUAAACCUCUUUCAGUAGGGAAGAAGCGAAAGUGACGGUACCUGCAGAAGAAGCACCGGCUAACUACGUG